RNAcentral lists this ribosomal RNA (483 nucleotides) under uncultured bacterium. Its description in RNAcentral is "partial 16S ribosomal RNA". It matches the Rfam family "Bacterial small subunit ribosomal RNA", at positions 30 to 506 of the family's 1533-position model. The record is from RNAcentral.
AUUGAACGCUGGCGGCAGGCCUAACACAUGCAAGUCGAGCGGAUGAAGGGAGCUUGCUCCUGGAUUCAGCGGCGGACGGGUGAGUAAUGCCUAGGAAUCUGCCUGGUAGUGGGGGAUAACGUCCGGAAACGGGCGCUAAUACCGCAUACGUCCUGAGGGAGAAAGUGGGGGAUCUUCGGACCUCACGCUAUCAGAUGAGCCUAGGUCGGAUUAGCUAGUUGGUGGGGUAAAGGCCUACCAAGGCGACGAUCCGUAACUGGUCUGAGAGGAUGAUCAGUCACAGUGGAACUGAGACACGGUCCAGACUCCUACGGGAGGCAGCAGUGGGGAAUAUUGGACAAUGGGCGAAAGCCUGAUCCAGCCAUGCCGGGUGGGGGAAGAAGGUCUUCGGAUUGUAAAGCACUUUAAGUUGGGGGGAAGGGCAGUAAGUUAAACCCUUGCUGUUUUGACGUUACCAACAGAAUAAGCACCGGCUAACUUCGU